UGGCGAACGGGUGAGUAACACGUGGGUGAUCUGCCCUGCACUUCGGGAUAAGCUUGGGAAGCUGGGUCUAAUACCGGAUAGGAGCCAUCUUUAGUGUGGUGGUUGGAAAGUUUUUUCGGUGUAGGAUGAGCUCGCGGCCUAUCAGCUUGUUGGUGGGGUAAUGGCCUACCAUGGCGGCGACGGGUAGCCGGCCUGAGAGGGUGUACGGCCACAUUGGGACUGAGAUACGGCCCAG
RNAcentral lists this ribosomal RNA (235 nucleotides) under uncultured Actinomycetales bacterium. Its description in RNAcentral is "partial 16S ribosomal RNA". It matches the Rfam family "Bacterial small subunit ribosomal RNA", at positions 96 to 334 of the family's 1533-position model. The record is from RNAcentral. Lineage: Bacteria; Bacillati; Actinomycetota; Actinomycetes; Actinomycetales.